Molecule: long non-coding RNA, 617 nt
Organism: Clupea harengus (Atlantic herring)
Lineage: Eukaryota; Metazoa; Chordata; Actinopteri; Clupeiformes; Clupeidae
Source: Ensembl
CCAUUUUAACUUUGUAUAAUGUGUAUUUCUUCUGCCACAUGACAUCACCCCUGUGCUGUGAGCCUGUGAUGGAAUGGGCCAAUAAGGGGGAGUUCAGUUACCUGUUAAAAGGGUUGGCGUGGUAGUAUUGGGGAGGUGUGAUAGUAUUGAGGAGGUGUGGUAGUAUUGGGGAGGUGUGAUAGUAUUGAGGAGGUGUGGUAGUAUUGGGGAGGUGUGAUAGUAUUGAGGAGGUGUGGUAGUAUUGGGGAGGAGUGAUAGUAUUGAGGAGGUGUGGUAGUAUUGGGGAGGAGUGAUAGUAUUGAGGAGGUGUGGUAGUAUUGAGGAGGUGUGGUAGUAUUGGGGAGGUGUGAUAGUAUUGAGGAGGUGUGGUAGUAUUGGGGAGGAGUGAUAGUAUUGAGGAGGUGUGGUAGUAUUGAGGAGGUGUGGUAGUAUUGGGGAGGUGUGGUAGUAUUGGGGAGGAGUGGUAGUAUUGGGGAGGAGUGGUAGUAUUGGGGAGGAGUGGUAGUAUUGGGGAGGUGUGGUAGUAUUGGGGAGGAGUGAUAGUAUUGGGGAGGUGUGAUAGUAUUGGGGAGGUGUGGUAGUAUUGGGCUUCUGUGCUGAGAGUUUCUUUGAUGAGU